UACGUAGGGUCCGAGCGUUGUCCGGAAUUACUGGGCGUAAAGAGCUCGUAGGUGGUUUGUCGCGUUGUUCGUGAAAACUCACAGCUCAACUGUGGGCGUGCGGGCGAUACGGGCAGACUAGAGUACUGCAGGGGAGACUGGAAUUCCUGGUGUAGCGGUGGAAUGCGCAGAUAUCAGGAGGAACACCGGUGGCGAAGGCGGCCUUCUGG
This 209-nucleotide ribosomal RNA is filed under the name uncultured bacterium. Its description in RNAcentral is "partial 16S ribosomal RNA". It matches the Rfam family "Bacterial small subunit ribosomal RNA", at positions 524 to 732 of the family's 1533-position model. The record is from RNAcentral.